CAGGGGACAACAAAAUGUUAAAUAUUAAUUUGUCACCUUAGGUCGAUCGGUACCUCACAUUCUUAAUUUAUUUAAGAAUUUUAUUUCCUAAGUUUUUUCUAGGUCACACCCAUUACUUUUCCUGGGCCAUUAGCUCAGGUGGUUAGAGCGCACCCCUGAUAAGGGUGAGGUCCCUGGUUCAAGUCCAGGAUGGCCCAUAUCUCUAUGUUGGGGGUAUAGCUCAGUUGGUAGAGCGCCUGCUUUGCAAGCAGGAUGUCAGCGGUUCGGUCCGCUUACCUCCACUGAAUCACCACCUCUUCCAUAAAUUUAAAUAAGGAAAUUGUUUUGCGCCGUGAUCAUUCAUCUGAACGAAUCUAGCUUCCUAAUGAAAUCAUUAAGAUGCUGGACUCAUUGAAUUAAUUUCAUUGUUUUCAGAGAACCUUGACAACUGCAUAGAUUAUUUUUAAAGACAAUAAGCAUCUUUAAUGAUGCAGAUUUAUUAUUUUUGUAAAUGCAUUAAUAACAAUUCUAUUAAGCUGAUGCUUCA
RNAcentral lists this transfer RNA (526 nucleotides) under uncultured Prochlorococcus sp. RNAcentral's name for it is "partial 16S-23S ribosomal RNA intergenic spacer". The stretch from base 124 to 197 matches the Rfam family "tRNA". The record is from RNAcentral. Lineage: Bacteria; Bacillati; Cyanobacteriota; Cyanophyceae; Synechococcales; Prochlorococcaceae.